This 1512-nucleotide small RNA is filed under the name Pan troglodytes (chimpanzee). Its description in RNAcentral is "processed transcript". Lineage: Eukaryota; Metazoa; Chordata; Mammalia; Primates; Hominidae. The record is from RNAcentral.
AUGAUCUUACUCACAUUCAGCACUGGAAGACGGUUGGAUUUCGUGCAUCAUUCGGGGGUGUUUUUCUUGCAAACCUUGCUUUGGAUUUUAUGUGCUACAGUCUGCGGAACGGAGCAGUAUUUCAAUGUGGAGGUUUGGUUACAAAAGUACGGCUACCUUCCACCGACUGACCCCAGAAUGUCAGUGCUGCGCUCUGCAGAGACCAUGCAGUCUGCCCUAGCUGCCAUGCAGCAGUUCUAUGGCAUUAACAUGACAGGAAAAGUGGACAGAAACACAAUUGACUGGAUGAAGAAGCCCCGAUGCGGUGUACCUGACCAGACAAGAGGUAGCUCCAAAUUUCAUAUUCGUCGAAAGCGAUAUGCAUUGACAGGACAGAAAUGGCAGCACAAGCACAUCACUUACAGUAUAAAGAACGUAACUCCAAAAGUAGGAGACCCUGAGACUCGUAAAGCUAUUCGCCGUGCCUUUGAUGUGUGGCAGAAUGUAACUCCUCUGACAUUUGAAGAAGUUCCCUACAGUGAAUUAGAAAAUGGCAAACGUGAUGUGGAUAUAACCAUUAUUUUUGCAUCUGGUUUCCAUGGGGACAGUUCUCCCUUUGAUGGAGAGGGAGGAUUUUUGGCACAUGCCUACUUCCCUGGACCAGGAAUUGGAGGAGAUACCCAUUUUGACUCAGAUGAGCCAUGGACACUAGGAAAUCCUAAUCAUGAUGGAAAUGACUUAUUUCUUGUAGCAGUUCAUGAACUGGGACAUGCUCUGGGAUUGGAGCAUUCCAAUGACCCCACUGCCAUCAUGGCUCCAUUUUACCAGUACAUGGAAACAGACAACUUCAAACUACCUAAUGAUGAUUUACAGGGCAUCCAGAAGAUAUAUGGUCCACCUGACAAGAUUCCUCCACCUACAAGACCUCUACCGACAGUGCCCCCACACCGCUCUAUUCCUCCGGCUGACCCAAGGAAAAAUGACAGGCCAAAACCUCCUCGGCCUCCAACCGGCAGACCCUCCUAUCCCGGAGCCAAACCCAACAUCUGUGAUGGGAACUUUAACACUCUAGCUAUUCUUCGUCGUGAGAUGUUUGUUUUCAAGGACCAGUGGUUUUGGCGAGUGAGAAACAACAGGGUGAUGGAUGGAUACCCAAUGCAAAUUACUUACUUCUGGCGGGGCUUGCCUCCUAGUAUCGAUGCAGUUUAUGAAAAUAGCGACGGGAAUUUUGUGUUCUUUAAAGUGAAGGGAGACACUGUAUCUAUAAUCCAAGAUGGUUGGCUCUACAAAUACCAUUGGAAAUGGAUUCUAGAACAAAGGCAGUCAGUGCCUGUGCUCUCAAGACAAACUGAAAAGCACAAGACCUAUGAAGAAUUAUCUCCCAUCACAUACUAACAAAGAACAAUCAGGAAUUGAAAAUUUAAAAUAAAAGGCCAUUUACAAUUGCAUUCAAAAACACCAAAUACUGAGGGAUCAAUCUGCAAAAAAAUGUGCAUGACCUCUACGUUGAAAACAACAAAACACUGCUAAAUG